Molecule: ribosomal RNA, 501 nt
Filed under: uncultured bacterium
Lineage: Bacteria
Description: partial 16S ribosomal RNA
Rfam family: Bacterial small subunit ribosomal RNA
Source: RNAcentral
AUUGGACGCUGGCGGCAUGCCUUACACAUGCAAGUCGAACGGCAGCACGGGCGCUUGCACCUGGUGGCGAGUGGCGAACGGGUGAGUAAUACAUCGGAACGUACCUUAUCGUGGGGGAUAACGCAGCGAAAGCUGUGCUAAUACCGCAUACGCCCUGAGGGGGAAAGCGGGGGAUCGCAAGACCUCGCGCGAUUAGAGCGGCCGAUGCCUGAUUAGCUUGUUGGUGGGGUAAAAGCCCACCAAGGCGACGAUCAGUAGCUGGUCUGAGAGGACGAUCAGCCACACUGGGACUGAGACACGGCCCAGACUCCUACGGGAGGCAGCAGUGGGGAAUUUUGGACAAUGGGGGCAACCCUGAUCCAGCAAUGCCGCGUGAGUGAAGAAGGCCUUCGGGUUGUAAAGCUCUUUUGUCAGGGAAGAAACACCGGCUCUAACACAGUCCGGGAAUGACGGUACCUGAAGAAUAAGCACCGGCUAACUACGUGCCAGCCGCCGCAGUAA